GACGAACGCUGGCGGCGUGCCUAAUACAUGCAAGUUGAGCGCUGAAGGUUGGUACUUGUACCAACUGGAUGAGCAGCGAACGGGUGAGUAACGCGUGGGGAAUCUGCCUUUGAGCGGGGGACAACAUUUGGAAACGAAUGCUAAUACCGCAUAAAAACUUUAAACACAAGUUUUAAGUUUGAAAGAUGCAAUUGCAUCACUCAAAGAUGAUCCCGCGUUGUAUUAGCUAGUUGGUGAGGUAAAGGCUCACCAAGGCGAUGAUACAUAGCCGACCUGAGAGGGUGAUCGGCCACAUUGGGACUGAGACAAGGCCCAAACUCCUACGAGAGGCAGCAGCAGGGAAUCUUCGGCAAUGGACGAAAGUCUGACCGAGCAACGCCGCGUGAGUGAAGAAGGUUUUCGGAUCGUAAAACUCUGUUGGUAGAGAAGAACGUUGGUGAGAGUGGAAAGCUCAUCAAGUGACGGUAACUACCCAGAAAGGGACGGCUAACUACGAG
RNAcentral lists this ribosomal RNA (497 nucleotides) under uncultured bacterium. RNAcentral's name for it is "partial 16S ribosomal RNA". It matches the Rfam family "Bacterial small subunit ribosomal RNA", at positions 28 to 507 of the family's 1533-position model. The record is from RNAcentral.